CGAAAGAUGGUGAACUAUGCCUGAAUAGGGUGAAGCCAGAGGAAACUCUGGUGGAGGCUCGCAGCGGUUCUGACGUGCAAAUCGAUCGUCAAAUUUGGGCAUAGGGUAAGCAACCUCCCCAUUCCAGUACGAUCCCAGUAGGUGCCAGUGAACAUUUUAACUAACAAACAUUUUCUACAGGGCGAAAGACUAAUCGAACCAUUGGAAAAGCU
Molecule: non-coding RNA, 212 nt
Filed under: Capronia epimyces CBS 606.96
Lineage: Eukaryota; Fungi; Ascomycota; Eurotiomycetes; Chaetothyriales; Herpotrichiellaceae
Description: Eukaryotic large subunit ribosomal RNA
Rfam family: Eukaryotic large subunit ribosomal RNA
Source: Rfam by way of RNAcentral